This 253-nucleotide ribosomal RNA is filed under the name uncultured bacterium. RNAcentral describes it as "partial 16S ribosomal RNA". It matches the Rfam family "Bacterial small subunit ribosomal RNA", at positions 524 to 776 of the family's 1533-position model. The record is from RNAcentral.
UACGGGGGGGGCAAGCGUUGUUCGGAAUUACUGGGCGUAAAGGGCUCGUAGGUGGCCAACUAAGUCAGACGUGAAAUCCCUCAGCUUAACUGGGGAACUGCGUCUGAUACUGGAUGGCUUGAGUUUGGGAGAGGGAUGCGGAAUUCCAGGUGUAGCGGUGAAAUGCGUAGAUAUGCGGAGGAACACCGAUGGCGAAGGCAAUCCCCUGGGCCUGCACUGACGCUCAUGCACGAAAGCGUGGGGAGCAAACAGG